CCUACGGGAGGCAGCAGUGGGGAAUAUUGGUCAAUGGCCGGAAGGCUGAUCCAGCCACGUCGCGUGAAGGAUGAAGGAUCUAUGGUUUGUAAACUUCUUUUAUAUGGGAGUAAAUUGCGGUACGUGUUCAUUUUUGUAUGUCCCAUAUGAAUCAGGAUCGGCUAACUACGGGCCAGCAGCCGCGGUAAUACGGAGGAUGCGAGCGUUAUCCGGAUUUAUUGGGUUUACAGGGUGCGUAGGUGGGUAAUUAAGUCAGGUGUGAAAGUUUGGGGCCCAACCCACAAAAUGGCUGUGAUAAUGGGUGACUGGAGGAUAGGUGGGGUAGGCGGAAUGCCUGGUGUAGCGGUGAAAUGCGUA
This 357-nucleotide ribosomal RNA is filed under the name uncultured bacterium. RNAcentral's name for it is "partial 16S ribosomal RNA". It matches the Rfam family "Bacterial small subunit ribosomal RNA", at positions 338 to 692 of the family's 1533-position model. The record is from RNAcentral.